RNAcentral lists this ribosomal RNA (551 nucleotides) under uncultured bacterium. Its description in RNAcentral is "partial 16S ribosomal RNA". It matches the Rfam family "Bacterial small subunit ribosomal RNA", at positions 358 to 900 of the family's 1533-position model. The record is from RNAcentral.
GGAAUCUUCGGCAAUGGGGGCAACCCUGACCGAGCAACGCCGCGUGAGUGAAGAAGGUUUUCGGAUCGUAAAGCUCUGUUGUAAGUCAAGAACGGGUGUGAGAGUGGAAAGUUCACACUGUGACGGUAGCUUACCAGAAAGGGACGGCUAACUACGUGCCAGCAGCCGCGGUAAUACGUAGGUCCCGAGCGUUGUCCGGAUUUAUUGGGCGUAAAGCGAGCGCAGGCGGUUUGAUAAGUCUGAAGUUAAAGGCUGUGGCUCAACCAUAGUUCGCUUUGGAAACUGUCAAACUUGAGUGCAGAAGGGGAGAGUGGAAUUCCAUGUGUAGCGGUGAAAUGCGUAGAUAUAUGGAGGAACACCGGUGGCGAAAGCGGCUCUCUGGUCUGUAACUGACGCUGAGGCUCGAAAGCGUGGGGAGCGAACAGGAUUAGAUACCCUGGUAGUCCACGCCGUAAACGAUGAGUGCUAGGUGUUGGAUCCUUUCCGGGAUUCAGUGCCGCAGCUAACGCAUUAAGCACUCCGCCUGGGGAGUACGACCGCAAGGUUGAAAC